CACAACUAUCAGGUACCUGAGUGCAAAGACUAUUUCUGUCCUUCCUGAAAACUCCAUCUGUUUGAGCAGAUUUCCUCCUUCCACAAAAGUGUCUGUAAGAGCAUUCUAACUUCUCCACAACAGAAAGAGAUCCAGUGUUGCAUGUUGAAUGGUGUUUGGUAUUAAAUGAUUUCUGAAGGUGGGAUUCUAGAACUGAGGCUCUGUCUAAAAAUGGAUCCAUGGAGAAAGAUGCAAUAGAAUAGGCUACAUGUGCAUCCAGAAAUUGGGCACCUUUAACAUUCAUCAGUUACAGC
RNAcentral lists this long non-coding RNA (293 nucleotides) under Vombatus ursinus (common wombat). Its description in RNAcentral is "lncRNA (ENSVURG00010014592.1)". Lineage: Eukaryota; Metazoa; Chordata; Mammalia; Diprotodontia; Vombatidae. The record is from RNAcentral.